This 253-nucleotide ribosomal RNA is filed under the name uncultured prokaryote. Its description in RNAcentral is "partial 16S ribosomal RNA". It matches the Rfam family "Bacterial small subunit ribosomal RNA", at positions 525 to 777 of the family's 1533-position model. The record is from RNAcentral.
ACGGAGGGUGCAAGCGUUAAUCGGAAUUACUGGGCGUAAAGCGCUUGUAGGCGGCCUGCCAAGUCGCGUGUGAAAUCCCCUGGCUUAACCAGGGAAGUGCGCGCGAAACUGGCGGGCUUGAGUGCCGGAGAGGGUCGCGGAAUUCCCGGUGUAGAGGUGAAAUUCGUAGAUAUCGGGAGGAACACCAGUGGCGAAGGCGGCGACCUGGACGGACACUGACGCUGAGACGCGAAAGCGUGGGGAGCAAACAGGA